Thioclava sp. is the source of this 151-nucleotide non-coding RNA. Lineage: Bacteria; Pseudomonadati; Pseudomonadota; Alphaproteobacteria; Rhodobacterales; Paracoccaceae. The record is from Rfam.
GUUCGAGAAAUGCGGAUUGUAAUUGAUGAAGGUGAAGCCGCGCGCUUGAUCGAUCGUGUGGAACAGCGGGUUCCAGUUGAACAGGAUCAGCAUCUUGUGCGGCAGAUUGUUCGCGAGAAACAUCUUUCCCGAGGCGAUCAUGUUGGCACGG